RNAcentral lists this long non-coding RNA (2009 nucleotides) under Piliocolobus tephrosceles (Ugandan red Colobus). Its description in RNAcentral is "lncRNA (ENSPTEG00000018567.1)". Lineage: Eukaryota; Metazoa; Chordata; Mammalia; Primates; Cercopithecidae. The record is from RNAcentral.
AAAAAAAAAAAAAAGGUGUAAUAUAUAAAAACACAAAUGAUAAUGUGCGAAUAAUGAAUGAUUAUAGAGAAGAAUACGAUUUUAUCCAAAGAAUUCACAAAAUUGAAGGUAACAACAAUAACAACGAUUAUAAUACAGUAUAUUCAGAUGGAAACAGAAUAAAAAAAGAUGAUCCUUUAAUUGGAAGAGAUUUAUACGAAAAAGAUUUAUAUUUAAAAAGUCGGUAUGAUAAGUAUGAUAUUACACUUAACGGUUUCGAUAAGGAUGAUAAGGAUUUACAUUUGAAAAGAUUAAAAAAAGAAAAUGAGAAAGAAUUAAGAAGAAAAGAAUAUAAUUUAAAACGGAGUAAUAUUAAUGAAUUAGUUAAAAUAAAUGAAGUAGUAUAUUAUAUUCAUGCAAACAGAAAAAAUAUUUAUGAAUAUAUUAAUAAUCAAAGUGAUUUGGAUAAUAAUUAUUAUCAAAUAGAAGAAAAGCCAGUAAAUAUAACUAGUAAUAUGAUAAAAAAUAAUGAAGAAUAUGUUUAUUUAAAUGAUAAUGCAUAUUAUAAAUUAAAAAUAAAUAAGGAAGAUAAAGAUAUCGAAGAUGAUAAUAAUAUGAAUAAUUAUAAUAACAAAAUAAAAAUAAAAUAUACAUUGGAUGAAAAUUCGAGUAGUAUAAUUGAGAAAAUAAUUGAUUCGGAUAGUUAUUUAUUUCAUUUAUUACAUAUGUUUAUUUCUAUGAAAAAUGGUAUGAGUAAUGUUUUUUAUAUGUUAAGUAAAAUAUUUCAUUUUAAUUUUUUAGAUUAUGCAUAUAUAAAAAAUUACUCCUUAAAUGACUAUAUGAAUAUAAAUAUGAAAGAAUAUUUAAAAUGUUUAAAAAAAGAAGAAGAAUCGAAAAUGAUUACAAAUGAUUUUUUAUUAAGAAGACAAUAUAUGACUCCAUAUUUUGUUCAUAAUUGUGUAGAUUGUAAUUAUAAUACGAAUGAUAAUGGGAUUAUAAUAUUAUCUUCUAUAUUACCAUUUAUACAUAGUUUUGAUUAUGAUUAUAAAUUGAAAGAGAUAAGAAGAAAAGAAGAGGAAUUAGAAACUAUAUUAAAUAAUGAGAAAAGCAAAAAAAGUGGAGCAAUACGGGUAUUAGAAUAUAUGAAAAAAGCAAAAGGUUUUGUUACAAAUAAAAUAAUGUCGAAUAAUAAUAAUACUAGUAGUAAUACUUUUACUGUUAAUAGUAGUGGUGGUAUUAAUUCGGGUGAUAAUAUAAAUACGGAUGGUAAAAGUCGUAAUACUAGUAAUAGUAAUAAUCAUGAAUAUUCUGAAUUUUUACAAAAGUUUGAAAAUAGUAUAAAUGAAGAAGGGGAAUUAAUUCAAGAUAUUUUAUUUGCUGGUAAGGUACAAAUGAUAUUUAUUAAUUUUAAACAGUUAGAAAAUAAUUUUAACAAUGUGGUUGGUAAUAUGGAAAUAAAAAAUGACAAAGUACAAGUGAGUAAUUUAAUUUUAGGUUAUGAAAAAAGAGAACAUAUAAGAUAUACUGACAUUUUAAUAUCAAAUAUAUUAAAAAAUAUAAAAAAGAAAUAUCCUGAUAAUAUUAUUAAUGAUUGUAAUCCUAAACAAUUUUUAUAUGGUGACGAUAAUGAUGAUGACAGAUUGAAAAAGUAUUUACAUGAGAACAUUCCGUAUGGUGCCUCCUAUGGUACCCCCUAUGGUGCCCCUUAUGCAAAAAUAGUAGGUAAUGAGCCAUAUAACAGUAACAUUAACGACAACAUUAACGACAACAUCAACAUAAACAACAACAUAAACAACAACAUAAACAACAACAUAAACAAUAAUAAUACGAGUGGUAGGGAUAUUUUUAUAGAUGACAGGGGAAAUAUAAAUAAAAAAGAAAUAUAUAAAGACACGGAUUUUAAAGAAUAUAUAUAUAAUUCGCCAUUCCAUUUAAUGAAAGGUGGUAAUAACAAUAACAAUGAAUAUGUAACUUGUGUUUGUUUUGAUAAUAAUUCAAAUGAUUGUAAUUUAAUUAAUAAUUUUGUACUU